Melitaea cinxia (Glanville fritillary) is the source of this 394-nucleotide long non-coding RNA. RefSeq lists it as uncharacterized. The record is from RefSeq and is a predicted model, not a curated record. The transcript is spliced from 2 exons. NCBI's taxonomy places the organism in Eukaryota, Metazoa, Arthropoda, Insecta, Lepidoptera, Nymphalidae.
AUUUUACGUAAUCUUUCAUAGAUUAAAAAAAUAUUUGUAUGUUAGACGUAGUGGCUAAUCGUGAUAAAAUUAAUAGGUAUUUUUGUAUAAACAAUCUACAUCCUGAUUCACCUUUCAUUUUCGCUCGAUAUUAUUACUUAUUGUUAGUAAUAUAUUUAUCGUAAUUAAGAGCUGACUAGAUUACGCACCAAAACACCCUCCAUCGGUGAAUACAUGAGUUUUUUUCGACUACCCUCACAAUAUUCGUAAAAUUGAAUUUCUAUGGAUAUAUGGUUUAACUAAGAGUUGGCGAAGCAAACGCCUUCGUCCUUAAUGGAACUUUAGUUAUUACUAACUUACUAGGUAGUACAAUACAUACUUAUUUAUUUUUAUGAAUUAAACUGCUUAGUACGUA